CGUGCUACCAUUCUUGGUUCUGCGUUCCCCUGCGGCUUCCAUGGAAGGGAUGGUGCAGCUUGCAUAUGAUGCAACGGUGAAGCUCAUGCUGUCUGCACUUGAGCGCAACCUACUCCCUGACGCCGUCACCAGAAGACUCACCCGCCUCCUUUUGGCUACUCGCCUUCGCUCUUCUUCCACCACAUCCUCGGAGCUUCAGCAUUUCAACCUCCUCCACUUCGCACACUGUACUAUUUCUUACCUUCUUCAUUUCUCUCGUCGCGAUUAUGAAUGCAACAAUCAAUCACUAUAACAUUCUGGGAGUCAAAAAAAGAAAAAUAACGAAAACAUUACUUUGAACAUCUUAAUGCAAUAAUGUGUUAUUUUUAGUUCAUUUGAUUUUGUCCGGUUAGUGAACAAUUUGACCAGGAAUUUCAUGUCUCACGCUCUUUUAGCUUUACGAGAGAUGCCCAUAGCAAUCAACACCGAGAAGCCAAAAUCUCAACAUUAUGAACUACCAACCGCUUUCUUCAAGCUCGUCCUUGGAAGCAAUCUCAAAUACAGGUACUUGUAAAAUGAUUUUGUUGUCGAUUGGUAACUUUACCUAAAAAAUUCCUUUGAUUCUGUGCUAUUAGUAGAUAGUGAUCAUGUUUCUUUGAUUUAUAUUUUCGAAAGUUGAUUUUCAUUUUAUAUAUAAAAAAAAAAAAAAGACAGAAAACAGACACUCAACUAAGCUGAUGUCUCAGUCUCGCCGCCUGCAGCACUCUUGAGGUAGGAUCACAAAAUAGGUACAGACGAUGAGAAAAUAUCUUUUAACUGUUUCUAUUUUUUGGUUUAUAAAAUAAGAUCAGUAAUAAUUUUUUAAACUGGUAGACUUUACAGGCGAAAUUGAUUUUUAAGUAGCAAGGAAGGAAUUAUUUUAAGUAACAGCUUUUAAAGACAAAAGACGAGAAGAAAAUCACAUAGGACCUAAACCUUUACAACAAAAUCUUCCUAAAAGGGAGUACAGGAUGAAUUGUGCGAACAGGGCACAGGGAACAGCCAUACCAGAUCUCACUUGAUUAGCUAAAACAGGUUUGCUGUACUGAUUAAGUUAUGCGUGCAGAAGUGAAAAGAUUCAUUAUAAACAAGUCAUUUUCUGUUGCAAAAUGAAUAUGAGGGAUUUAAGUUGUUACCAAAAUAAAUUACUGACAAGUAUGUGUGCAUGAAAGAAAAAUGAAGUACGCUCACAACCUUAUGGCUAAUAUACUAUUCCCAACUGCAUGAACUCCUGCAGCUGUUGCUAUUUCUCUUCUGCCUCAACGACGCUGGAAGAUGCUGAAGAAGCAAUGUUGAAACUGUACUGCGACAGAUCAAACCUGAAAGAUGGUCAUACGGUACUCGAUGUGGGAUGUGGUUGGGGAUCGCUGGCAUUAUACAUUGCCAAGAAGUACAUUAACUGCAGAGUUACAGGAAUCUGCAAUUCCACAACUCAAAAGGCUUACAUUGAGGAAAAGUGCCGGUAUGCUGCUUGAUAUCCCCUUCUUGGCUUUAAGGCCUUAUGCAUUGGCUCUGAAAAAUCUGAUCAAGCAGAUGACACUUUGGUGAAAACGAUAUUGAGCUUGCGAAUUAGAUAAAUAUUGCAUGAUGAUCAAAAUCACAUUCUUCUCCUCUCUUGUCAGGGAUCUUCAGCUGCAAAAUAUCAAUAUUAUAGUCGUUGAUAUUAGCACGUUUGAAAUGGAGGCUUCUUACGACAGAAUAUUUUCCAUAGAAAUGUUUGAGGUUAGGAUUUGUGAAUAAAUAAUUAGUGUCAACGACACGUUUUCUUGUAUUUUAGAGUCAGCUUUGACCUUGAUGCAGCAUAUGAAGAACUACAAAGACCUUCUGAAGAAGAUAUCCAAAUGGAUGAAAGAAGAUNGCCUUUUAUUUGUGNAUUACUUCUGCCACAAAGCAUUUGCCUACCACUUUGAGGUGAACCCAAUACUACACUGUUNAACNACUUGNCCAUUGNGAUGUUAUAUUUGUGAUAUAUAUUAGUCAAUGCAUUAACAANGCUAGUGAGNUUUCAANUUUUCAUAGAUNUAAUUCAUUUACCUACUACUUGCUACUUCUUCAUGAAGGACAAAAAUGAAGAUGACUGGAUUACAAGAUACUUCUUUACUGGAGGAACCAUGCCUUCAGCAAAUCUACUUCUUUAUUUUCAAGUGAGUUUCCUAUGCUUCUUGUGCCAGCUUUGUUAUUAACAAAUGGUAUCUCUGUAUCCCGUCAAAUGUUGUCUUGUGUUAUAUGAAGGAAAAAAACUGUCUCCUUAAAAGAAAAAACGGGAAAAGAAAGAAGUAUCUGCUAUACUUUUGUUUAACACCUUUAUAUCACGUCCAGAAUCAGCUCACUUGUAACCAACUGUCUUCUUUGCUGAUGGAUGUAGGAUGAUGUUACAGUCAUCAACCAUUGGCUGGUAAAUGGUAAACACUACGCACAGACCAGGUUAGAAUCAACUUCACUGCUAAAUGAACACCUUUAUAUCUGCUAUACUCCACCGGUAAUUGAUUCAUUUACAAAGCAAGUUCGAAACCACUUCUAAAAAAAAUGAAUACAUGUCGCAGUGAAGAAUGGCUGAAAAGAAUGGACAAGAGAAUGACUUACAUCAAGCCAAUUAUGCAAUCAACGUAUGGCAAUGAUUCAGCUACCAAGUGGACUGCCUAUUGGAGAACAUUCUUCAUAGCUGUGGGGGAACUUUUCGGAUAUAAUAACGGUGAAGAAUGGAUGGUUGCUCAGUUUCUUUUCAAAAAGAAAUGAAAUAAGCCAUAACCUGAUUUUUUAAUUUGAGAAGGGCUUCCAAACCUAUUUGACUAUUUGUCCUAACCAUUUAGGACAAAGAAAGCUGCCAAAUCGAAGUUGCACAUUUCAAUAAUGCUGUGUUUAUAAGUUAACUUAGUUUAUUGGGUUGUUUGACUUUAUUUUCUCUUGGUUCUCAAUCCUUUGCACUUUAGUUCAAACUUUAAUUUGGUUCUUCUAUGAUGUUAUACUUUGUAACAAACAUGGUAAAGCGCAAGGUAGAUGACCGUAUGCAUGCUCGCUCCAUUCUCAGUCUCCUUCCUUCCCCUGAAACUACAAUUUUAUCAUGUUUUUGAAUGAAAUGGUUUUUGCUUCCAAUUGCGGGGUUUUGGCAUUUUAAGUUUAUUUAAUGUUUUUUUAGUAGUAAUAUUUUUUUUUAUUGAUGUUAUUUUUUGUCAUCCAGAUUAUAUCGAGUGAUAUAAUUUUUUUAUGUUGAACAUUAAACAAGAUUGUUUUAAGUUAAUGCUAAUUAUAAUUAUUUAGAUUAAAAUGUUAUUUUUAUAACAUUAUAAUAGUUGAUAAUUUUUGUUUACUUUUUUUUUUUUGUCAUAAAAGUUAACCGAAUAUGCUCCCCAAUUGACAUUGGUGAAAAACAAUUCUUAUUAAUCUUAGCUGAAAAUUUUCUAGAUAACACUAAAAAAAUUAAUAACAAACGUGAAAAAUAAGGGUGUUGCUCUCUACAUCUCCCCAAGUAGGACCUGUACCUUCCUAUUAAUUUAAUUUAUUUCAAAAAUAUUUUAUAACUCUCCACUAUUUUCUUUUAUUCCAAAAAUACCCUACACCUCCCAACUAUCAUUAACCAUCUUUCUCUUUCUCUCUCUACAUUAAUGGAGCAUUUAUAUGGCUAAAUAAUAGAACAUUUACAUGACUUAAAUUUGAAGUUAGAUAUAUUUUCUUAAAUAAGUUUGAUUCAAUCUUAUUUUCNUUNUUGAAUAUAUUUUUUUCUUUUCAAAUUACUUAAUAAAUGGUAAAAUUUUGUUCUAAAUUUCUAGAAAAAUGUUUAUAUGCAUGUAUAUUUUUUUUUACAUAUAAUAUCUAUAAUUUUUAACAUUAUAUUAUGUUUUAAUUCACCGACAUGUUUGACUCAAAUAACUUGAAUAAAAUAUUUAAUUUAUUAGAUAAAUAAUAUAAAAAUAUUAUUAAAUACUUAAAAUAUAAAAAAAAAAAAGUUAUUUGUUAAAAAUUUAGAAUUUAUUUAGUUCUUUCGUCAUUAUAAAGUUAGUAUAUAAUAAUAAUAUAUCAUUAUUUACUAUUAAUAUUAUUAUGUUUAUUAUUUUGUAUUUGCAUCUAACUUUUAAUUUUAUAAAAUAGAAUUGGUAAAAAUACUAAUAUUGAAGUUUCCUCUUAAUUUUAUAUUUUGUAGUAUGUUACAAAUUCAAAUCUGAACCAUGUGAAUGCCCCAUUAAUGUAGAGAGAGAAAGAAAAAGAAUGUUAAGGAUAGUGGAGAGGUGUAGGGUAUUUUUGGAAUAAAAGAAAAUAGUGGAGAGAUGUAGAAUAUUUUUGAAAUAAACUAAAUUAAUGGGGAGGUACAGGUCCGCUUGGAAGGUGUAGGGAGCAACACCCGAAAAAUAAUACAUCUAUCGAUGAUAUAAAAAAAUUCACACCAACAAAAAAAUAAUAAUUAGACAUACAUCAAUUAAAAGAAAUCUAAUUUAUAUUCAUAACAAUUAUCUUAUCGAUCUUGACUAAGAAAAGUCUCACUAAUAUUAAGGAAGAAAUAAUGGUAAUUUACAAAACAAAAUUAUUUCAAUAAUUUAAAUAAUAAAAUAACUCUAUUAUCAUCAGUAAAAAGAAAAUCUUAAUUGACUGGGCAACGUGUGUGAUAGUUCCUACAACCAAUAACCUUAUAAAGUUUUGCAUCGAAAAAAUGCAAUUACUCCGAGAAUUUAACUAUUUAGAUCUUUUAAAAAAAAUUACGAGAAUUGAUAAGUUAUCUUUAGAAGUAACGACUUAAAAUGAUUAUCUUUAUUUUUUUAAACCUUUUUAUUGAAAAAUGGUGGUGACUUUUGUGAAAUCAUUAUUUAUAAGGUGUUUUUUUUUAUAUUUAAUAAAUUAUAUUUCUUUAUUUAAAUUUAAGAAAUAAAUUUUACAUUUAAAAGUUUUUUUUAUGUAAAAAUUUUUAAAUACAUUUAAGUGUUUAUAUUUUAUAAGAUGUAGUUAAACUUUUUUAGCCACAUACUUUGAAUAAAAUCUUUGAAACUUAAAUUGAGUUUUGAUUAUUGAAAGAUAGAAUAAAAAAUUAAAAUAAUUACGGUGAAUAUUUGAAUUGAAAUGGAAAUUAUUAUUGAAUACAAAUAAAUUAUGUUUAUUAGCAAAUGUUACUCUAAGAUAGUUUAUUUAGAAUAUCUAUAUUGAGGGAUGUAAAGAGCUAGGUUGAACCAUGCAACAUAAAAGGUAACAACAUUCAAGAUUUUAAAUAAGACUAUGAAAGAUAACGUUAAAAGAUUGUUUUUUUUAUCUUGAAAAUACGUAUUUAUGUAAUAACCUAAUAAAAUAUUAAUAAGAUUAUGAGUAAGACUUUAAUAUAAAAGUAAAAAUUAUGAAAAAGAAAAUAUCUUAAAUAAGUUGACACAAUUGAAUCUAUAGAAAUUAAAUUUAAACAUCAUAUAUUUUAUCUCAUAAGUUGGUCUUUUAAAUUAUGUUGGUGUUAUUCGAUGAUUUUCCAUGAUAUUGUCAAUCUCUCAUUCUUCAUUUGUAUAAUUAAGAAUUUAUAUAACAUAAUGAACUAAUAACAAUCCAUGAUAUCAUUUGAUAAGAUAAUUUCAUGCUAAAAAUAUAAAUAUCAAGACAUUUAUUCUUCCACUUUCUAUAGCAAAUAAAAUAAUAAUAAUUACUGCAAUUGUGUAAUUAUGACGAUAAAUGACAAUUUACUUUAUAACGGAGUUUUUUUAUUAAUUUUUAUAACUUUAAUGCAAAUUUUAAUAAUUUUAUAAUAAUAUUUUUUAAUUUUUUAUUUAUCAUGAAAAUUGGACGCAAAUAAUAAGAAUAAUAAUUAUUAUUAUUAAAAUAAUAAUAAUAAUAAUGCUAAUAAAAAAAAAGUACAGGUAGAUUGAAGAUAAGACACUUUCCGAAAAUUGUAGAACCGUAGGUGCUACGAUUCUUGCUUCUGCACCGACGGUUCCCUUGCGGCUUCCAUGGAAGGGAUGAUGCAGCUUGCGUAUGAUGCAACGGUGAAGCUCAUGCUGUCUGCACUUGAGCGCAACCUACUCCCUGACGCCGUCACCAGGAGACUCACGCGCCUCCUUUUGGCUACUCGCCUUCGCUCUUCUUCCACCACAUACUCGGAGCUUCAGCUUUUCAACCUCCUCCACUUCGCACAUUGUACUAUUUCUUACCUUCUUAAUUUCUCUCGUCCCGAUUAUGACU
RNAcentral lists this long non-coding RNA (6159 nucleotides) under Vigna radiata. RNAcentral describes it as "long non-coding RNA (VRAD_LNC003867)". The record is from RNAcentral. Lineage: Eukaryota; Viridiplantae; Streptophyta; Magnoliopsida; Fabales; Fabaceae.